This 1275-nucleotide long non-coding RNA is filed under the name Takifugu rubripes (torafugu). RNAcentral describes it as "lncRNA (ENSTRUG00000026743.1)". Lineage: Eukaryota; Metazoa; Chordata; Actinopteri; Tetraodontiformes; Tetraodontidae. The record is from RNAcentral.
UUAGAACAAAGUCACUUGUCUGUUGUAGUGACAACAUAAUUGUUCUUGUCUUUAGCUAAUCUUGUGGGACUGUUAAACAAUAACCUAUGAGCUUAAACCUUGUCUCUUCAGUUUUAUAUGCAUUUAAGCAUAACACUAAAUAUUACACUGUUCAGAUCAAAGCAAAUAAAAGCUACCAUAAUCAGGAUCAAAGGUAACAAAGUUAAAAACUGUGUAAAAAGGAGCUCAACACAUGUUCAAAGCUCCUCUUAACUCAAUGCACAACAGAGUGGGGAAAAACGGGAAAGCUUUGUGUUUAACUCGUCGUUUUUACGUGACUGGAUACUGCAAACUGUUUUAUCUGCCGCCUUCUGAAUUUCCCGAGAGACUUCCUUUAGCAGCUCCUCAGAGUUGGGAAUAUCUUCAAGAAGAGGAUGCAUGAUGUCACUCAACUCAUCGUUGAUUUUACUGAUCGCCUGUGAAGAUGAUGAUUUUUUGGUUCCUUUCGAUGUCACAGUUCUGCUUUUCCAUGGCCGAGGAGCAAUAAAAGUUUUGAUCUUGCCUGAGAACUUUUGGAAAAGGUGAGUAAGUUGAUCAGUCAUGGCAUUCAGUCUGCCAACAGGUGUCAAACGUUUGGUGAUUCCAGCUUUUCCACCACUGAUGAGGUUGUAUUUGACCUCCUCGUGAAUUACACCUGUCAGGGACUUUAAACUGAUGUUGUCCACCUCAUCAGGAAUUCCCAAAGCUUCUGAAAAUGUUUGAGGAAGAGAGACUUCCAGCUCAAACAGAAGAUGCUCCUCAGUCUUUGGUCUCCCCGAUUUCAUUGAUGCCACAACAGAGUUGGAAAGAGCCGCGAUAAUUUCCAAAAUCAACUCUGCAACUAAAACUUUAGUGGCAUCAUCUGCUGAACCUGACAGGAAUGAUCUCCAUUGUUCUGCGGUCGUCUUUUCAAGGAAGGACCGCAUCAUUGGGUGAACAAUGUUUAGAACAAAGUCACUUGUCUGUUGUAGUGACAACAUAAUUGUUCUUGUCUUUAGCUAAUCUUGCGGGACUGUUAAACAAUAACCUAUGAGCUUAAACCUUGUCUCUUCAGUUUUAUAUGCAUUUAGGCAUAACACUAAAUAUUACACUGUUCAGAUCAAAGCAAGUAAAAGGUACCAUAAUCAGGAUCAAAGGUAACAAAGUUAAAAACUGUGUAAAAAGGAGCUCAACACAUGUUCAAAGCUCCUCUUAACUCAAUGCACAACAGAGUGGGGAAAAACGGGAAAGCUUUGUGUUUAACUCGUCGUUUUUACG